This 335-nucleotide ribosomal RNA is filed under the name uncultured bacterium. RNAcentral's name for it is "bacterial SSU rRNA". It matches the Rfam family "Bacterial small subunit ribosomal RNA", at positions 790 to 1116 of the family's 1533-position model. The record is from RNAcentral.
GUAGUCCACGCCGUAAACGAUGAGUGCGUAAGUGUUAGGGGGUUUUCCGCCCCUUAGUGCUGCAGCUAACGCAUUAAGCACUCCGCCUGGGGAGUACGACCGCAAAGGUUGAAACGUCAAAGGAAUUGACGGGGACCCGCACAAGCGGUGGAGCAUGUGGUUUAAUUCGAAGACAACGCGAAGAACCUUACCAAAUCUUGACAUCCUCUGACCCCUCUAGAGAUAGAGUUUUCCCCUUCGGGGGACAGAGUGACAGGUGGUGCAUGGUUGUCGUCAGCUCGUGUCGUGAGAUGUUGGGUUAAGUCCCGCAACGAGCGCAACCCUUAAGCUUAGUU